GAUUCAAGCUACUUUAAGAGCAAAUGGUGGAUGCCUUGGUAUCUGGAGCCGAAGAAGGACGUA
This 63-nucleotide ribosomal RNA is filed under the name Tropheryma whipplei. Its description in RNAcentral is "partial 23S ribosomal RNA". The record is from RNAcentral. Lineage: Bacteria; Bacillati; Actinomycetota; Actinomycetes; Micrococcales; Tropherymataceae.